This 71-nucleotide transfer RNA is filed under the name Dipodomys ordii (Ord's kangaroo rat). It matches the Rfam family "tRNA". Rfam says of the family: Transfer RNA (tRNA) molecules are approximately 80 nucleotides in length. Their secondary structure includes four short double-helical elements and three loops (D, anti-codon, and T loops). Further hydrogen bonds mediate the characteristic L-shaped molecular structure. tRNAs have two regions of fundamental functional importance: the anti-codon, which is responsible for specific mRNA codon recognition, and the 3' end, to which the tRNAs corresponding amino acid is attached (by aminoacyl-tRNA synthetases). tRNAs cope with the degeneracy of the genetic code in two manners: having more than one tRNA (with a specific anti-codon) for a particular amino acid; and 'wobble' base-pairing, i.e. permitting non-standard base-pairing at the 3rd anti-codon position. The record is from Rfam by way of RNAcentral. Lineage: Eukaryota; Metazoa; Chordata; Mammalia; Rodentia; Heteromyidae.
GGAAGUGUAGUUUAGUGGUAGAACUCCUGCCUAACAAGCAAAAGGCCCUGAGUCCCAACCCAGUGCUGCCA